CGCAACUUGCGCCCAUUGGUAUUCCAAAGGGCAUGCCUGUUUGAGUGUAAUAUAAACUCAUCUAGUCAGAUUUUCUGGCCAAGGUGGAUUUGGAGGCUUGUCAUUGACUCCUCUUAAAUGUGUGGUGCAGACGUAAUAAGUUUCGUUAUAUGCAUCGUUAUUAUAUAUUGUACUAUCACCUCAAAUCAGGUAGGGCUACCCGCUGAACUUAA
RNAcentral lists this unclassified non-coding RNA (212 nucleotides) under Basidiomycota sp. RNAcentral's name for it is "partial contains 5.8S ribosomal RNA, internal transcribed spacer 2, and large subunit ribosomal RNA". Lineage: Eukaryota; Fungi; Basidiomycota. The record is from RNAcentral.